RNAcentral lists this transfer RNA (71 nucleotides) under Loxodonta africana (African savanna elephant). It matches the Rfam family "tRNA". From Rfam's summary of the family: Transfer RNA (tRNA) molecules are approximately 80 nucleotides in length. Their secondary structure includes four short double-helical elements and three loops (D, anti-codon, and T loops). Lineage: Eukaryota; Metazoa; Chordata; Mammalia; Proboscidea; Elephantidae. The record is from Rfam by way of RNAcentral.
GUAUUGGUGGUUCAGUGAUAGAAUUCUUGCCUUCCAUUUGGGAGACCUGGGUUCAAUCCUUGGCCAAUGCA